UCUGCUCAAUGAUUUUUUAAAUUGCUGUGGUAUUUUGACUAUACGAAGGUAUUGAAAUAAGACUUUUAAUGAGUGCUAAGAGAAUGGUUUCACAAUUUACGACUGUCUUUUUAUUAAUAAUUGGAAAUUAAUUUUUUUGUGUAAAAGCUAAAAUAAAAUUAAGGGACAAGAAGACCCUAUGAAUUUUUCUAUUUUCCUAAUAAAAAAUUAUUUUAUUAGGAAAAUUUAAUUGGGGUGAUUAGAAAAGAAUAAAAAUCUUUUUUUUUCAAAAAAUUGAUCCAUUUAUUAAUGAUAAUUUGAUAAAAAUACUCUAGGGAUAACAGCGUUAUAAUUUUGGAUAGCACAUAUUGAUAAAAUUGAUUGCGACCUCGAUGUUGGAUUAGGAUUCUUUCUUAUAUGAAGAAGUAAAGAAAAGAAGUUUGUUCAACUUUUAAAUUCCUACUUGAUCUGAGUUCAGACCGGA
Molecule: ribosomal RNA, 463 nt
Filed under: Ixodes tasmani (Tasmanian possum tick)
Lineage: Eukaryota; Metazoa; Arthropoda; Arachnida; Ixodida; Ixodidae
Description: partial large subunit ribosomal RNA
Rfam family: Bacterial large subunit ribosomal RNA (bases 164-463)
Source: RNAcentral